AUAUAUAUAUAUAUAUAUAUAUACUGUGCUCUUUUUUUUUUUGGUAAAAACAAUAGGUGCCGGUACUCAGUGAUGGAUCGCCAAACUUUUAACUACUAAAAAUUAAUAAUAAACGUCGUUAAUAUACAAGAAAAGUACUAUUUUUUCCCCAGAUUAAAAAAGGUGCCGGUACGGCGUACCGGAACGUACCGUCACAAAAAAAGUACUGUAAAUAUAUAUAUAUAUACAUAUAUAUAUAUAUAUGUAUGUAGGUAUGUAUAUGAUAUAUAUAUAUAUAUAUAUA
Molecule: non-coding RNA, 283 nt
Organism: Biomphalaria pfeifferi
Lineage: Eukaryota; Metazoa; Mollusca; Gastropoda; Planorbidae
Source: the annotation of a GenBank genome assembly